Molecule: ribosomal RNA, 253 nt
Filed under: uncultured bacterium
Lineage: Bacteria
Description: partial 16S ribosomal RNA
Rfam family: Bacterial small subunit ribosomal RNA
Source: RNAcentral
UACGGGGGGGGCAAGCGUUGUUCGGAAUUACUGGGCGUAAAGGGCGCGUAGGCGGUUCGCUAAGUUGGAUGUGAAAACUCUGGGCUCAACCCAGAGCCUGCAUCCAAAACUGGCGGGCUAGAGUUCUGGAGGGGGUAGCGGAAUUCCUGGUGUAGCGGUGAAAUGCGUAGAUAUCAGGAGGAACACCGGUGGCGAAGGCGGCCGCCUGGACCAGCACUGACACUGAGGCACGAAAGCGUGGGGAGCAAACAGG